This 495-nucleotide ribosomal RNA is filed under the name uncultured bacterium. RNAcentral describes it as "partial 16S ribosomal RNA". It matches the Rfam family "Bacterial small subunit ribosomal RNA", at positions 28 to 507 of the family's 1533-position model. The record is from RNAcentral.
GACGAACGCUGGCGGCGUGCCUAAUACAUGCAAGUAGAACGCUGAAGGAGGAGCUUGCUUCUCCGGAUGAGUUGCGAACGGGUGAGUAACGCGUAGGUAACCUGCCUGGUAGCGGGGGAUAACUAUUGGAAACGAUAGCUAAUACCGCAUAACAGUAGAUAUUGCAUGAUAUCUGCUUGAAAGGUGCAAUUGCAUCACUACCAGAUGGACCUGCGUUGUAUUAGCUAGUUGGUGAGGUAACGGCUCACCAAGGCGACGAUACAUAGCCGACCUGAGAGGGUGAUCGGCCACACUGGGACUGAGGCACGGCCCAGACUCCUACGGGAGGCAGCAGUAGGGAAUCUUCGGCAAUGGACGGAAGUCUGACCGAGCAACGCCGCGUGAGUGAAGAAGGUUUUCGGAUCGUAAAGCUCUGUUGUAAGAGAAGAACGAGUGUGAGAGUGGAAAGUUCACACUGUGACGGUACCUUACCAGAAAGGGACGGCUAACUACGUG